This 600-nucleotide ribosomal RNA is filed under the name Pseudomonas sp. SS76. RNAcentral describes it as "bacterial SSU rRNA". It matches the Rfam family "Bacterial small subunit ribosomal RNA", at positions 28 to 631 of the family's 1533-position model. Lineage: Bacteria; Pseudomonadati; Pseudomonadota; Gammaproteobacteria; Pseudomonadales; Pseudomonadaceae. The record is from RNAcentral.
AUAUGACGCUGGCCGGCGGCUCUAACACAUGCUCUCGAGCGGAUGACGGGAGCUUGCUCUUCGAUUCAGCGGCGGACGGGUGAGUAAUGCCUAGGAAUCUGCCUGGUAGUGGGGGACAACGUUUCGAAAGGAACGCUAAUACCGCAUACGUCCUACGGGAGAAAGCAGGGGACCUUCGGGCCUUGCGCUAUCUCAUGAGCCUAGGUCGGAUUAGCUAGUUGGUGAGGUAAUGGCUCACCACGGCGACGAUCCGUAACUGGUCUGAGAGGAUGAUCAGUCACACUGGAACUGAGACACGAUCCAGACUCCUACGGGAGGCAGCAGUGGGGAAUAUUGGACAAUGGGCGACAGCCUGAUCCAGCCAUGCCGUGUGUGUGAUGAAGGUCUUCGGAUUGUAAAGCACUUUAAGUUGGGAGGAAGGGUUGUAGAUAAAACUCUGCAUUUUGACGUUCCCGACAGAAUAUGCACGGGCUAACUCUGUGCCAGCAGCCGCGUUAAUACAGAGUGUGAAGCGUAAUCGCAAUUACUGACCGUAGAGCGCGCGUAGGUGGUGUGUUAGUUGGAUGUGAAGCCCCGGGCUCACCUGGCACUGCAUCCACA